AUUGAACGCUGGCGGCAGGCCUAACACAUGCAAGUCGAACGGUAACAGGAAGCAGCUUGCUGCUUCGCUGACGAGUGGCGGACGGGUGAGUAAUGUCUGGGAAGCUGCCUGAUGGAGGGGGAUAACUACUGGAAACGGUAGCUAAUACCGCAUAAUGUCGCAAGACCAAAGAGGGGGACCUUCGGGCCUCUUGCCAUCGGAUGUGCCCAGAUGGGAUUAGCUUGUUGGUGGGGUAACGGCUCACCAAGGCGACGAUCCCUAGCUGGUCUGAGAGGAUGACCAGCCACACUGGAACUGAGACACGGUCCAGACUCCUACGGGAGGCAGCAGUGGGGAAUAUUGCACAAUGGGCGCAAGCCUGAUGCAGCCAUGCCGCGUGUAUGAAGAAGGCCUUCGGGUUGUAAAGUACUUUCAGCGGGGAGGAAGGGAGUAAAGUUAAUACCUUUGCUCAUUGACGUUACCCGCAGAAGAAGCACCGGCUAACUACGUG
This 490-nucleotide ribosomal RNA is filed under the name uncultured bacterium. RNAcentral's name for it is "partial 16S ribosomal RNA". It matches the Rfam family "Bacterial small subunit ribosomal RNA", at positions 30 to 507 of the family's 1533-position model. The record is from RNAcentral.